CUGGCACACAGGUCACACAGGUCACACUUCCUGACACAGGUCAUAUUCCUGAC
RNAcentral lists this long non-coding RNA (53 nucleotides) under Haliotis rufescens (red abalone). Its description in RNAcentral is "uncharacterized LOC125379145". Lineage: Eukaryota; Metazoa; Mollusca; Gastropoda; Lepetellida; Haliotidae. The record is from RNAcentral.